RNAcentral lists this ribosomal RNA (252 nucleotides) under uncultured bacterium. Its description in RNAcentral is "partial 16S ribosomal RNA". It matches the Rfam family "Bacterial small subunit ribosomal RNA", at positions 525 to 776 of the family's 1533-position model. The record is from RNAcentral.
ACGGAGGGGGCUAGCGUUGUUCGGAAUUACUGGGCGUAAAGCGCGCGUAGGCGGGUUGGUUAGUCAGGGGUGAAAUCCCGGAGCUCAACUCCGGAACUGCCCUUGAUACUGCCAGCCUUGAGUUCUGGAGAGGUGAGUGGAAUUCCGAGUGUAGAGGUGAAAUUCGUAGAUAUUCGGAGGAACACCAGUGGCGAAGGCGGCUCACUGGCCAGAUACUGACGCUGAGGUGCGAAAGCGUGGGGAGCAAACAGG